CAUAUAGAAUAGGAGAUAUUGUUUACAUAUAUAUAUGUGUGUAUUAACACCUUUGAAUGUAUGAAAAAAACCUGAUUUACAACAUUGUUGCUGAACUGAUUGAAUUGGUGGUUUUUUGGAUCAUGAUAAUAUGUUGGUCCACCUGACCUUACACAUCAUGCUUAAUUUCGAUUGCAGGGUCAAUAUAAAUCAACAUUAGUCUGUCCUGCUUGCAAGAAGGUAUCUGUUACAUUUGAUCCAUUCAUGUACUUAUCACUCCCUCUACCUUCAACAAAUACAUGGACUAUGACUUUGAAAGUUGUGAGUUCUGAUAGAAGAAGUCAGGCAUCUCCCUACACAAUUUCUGUGCGGAAGUACGGAAAAUGCGAAGAUCUAAUUCAUGCUCUAGGCAUUGCCUCUUCUUUAGGGAUAGAUGAGACCCUAUUGGUGGCUGAGGCACUUUGCAGAAUUUAUAAUAUCCAAAUCUGGUUAAAGAAAGAGUUGGACAAUGUGCCUCUGGUUGUAUUUAUGAAUCAGCAUAUGGAGGAGCGGUACAUCCACGGGAAACUUACUUCAAGUUGGAAGGCAUUUGGAAUUCCUCUUGUAGGACCAGUCCAUAAUUUUGUCAAUGGAUCUGACAUCCAUAAUUUAUAUCUGCAAUUACUUACUCCAUUUCAAAUACCUGUUGAUAAUACCUUGGGCAGUUGUGAUAACUCUAAAAGCACAGCUGUUGAAGAAGCUACAGGAGCAGAGGAUAACAUUGGUUCUUCUUUAGGUGGAAAUGCAAAUCCUUCCAAUGUAGAAGGGGCCAACUCUCCCUCAGAUUCUGAACUAGAGUUUUAUUUAACAGAUGAGAAGGGAACGGUUAAGGUCUCCAAGAUCCUAAUAAAUGAGCCAGUACCAGUAACAGGAAUGCCCAAACGAUUUAAUGUUCUUGUAUGUUGACCAGGGAAAAAAAAUUAACAUGACUCUCGCCUCCUUAGCUCUUUACCUGAGAUUUUCAAGUCUGGCUUUCUUGCAAAGAGACCUCAGGAAUCUGUUUCUCUUUACAAGUGUCUUGAAGCAUUUUUGAAGGAGGAACCUCUUGGACCAGAUGACAUGUGGUUUUGUCCAAGUUGUAAGAAGCAUCAUCAAGCCAGUAAACAAUUAGAUCUUUGGAGACUGCCAGAGAUUCUGGUUGUUCAUCUAAAAAGGUUCUCAUAUACUCGAUUUAUGAAGAACAAGCUUGAGGCAUAUGUUGACUUCCCUGUGGAUGAUCUUGAUUUGUCGGCUUACUUUUCCUGCAAGAAUGGCCAAUUAUCUUAUUGUUACCUGCUUUAUGCUAUCAGUAAUCACUAUGGAAGCAUGGGAGGUGGUCAUUACACUGCAUUUGUCCAUGUCGACACUGGUCACCGGAAUAGUACAAUGAAUAGAACUAGUGAAUGUAGGGGUGUUACAGUGAUUGCUGGUAUGAGUUUGAUGAUAGCCAUGUUCAUCCGAUCAGCCAGGACAAGAUAAAGACUUCAGCUGCUUAUGUUCUUUUCUACAAAAGAGUUGUAGAAGUUUAACUUGUGAGUAGUAUUACUAAUUCCUGAGAAUCGUACAGAAGCUAGAUGGUUAGUGAUUUAUUAACAUUUUGCCGUCUUAGUCUAGAAGAUUGUCUGAGACGGUAGCCUUCUUUUAUUUUUAACAUAUUUUCAAAUUAAUUAGAGUUGCCGGAAUGGAUUGAAGGGAAAGUGGAAUUGAAGUAGGUGCAGGAGAUGAUUGUAUCAUGGAAACAAUUAAACAUACCGAAAGAGACCUUUCUUAUGCCUGUAACCAUCGGUGAGAGAGAUUUGUAAAGGGGUUGCUUUAAAUCCCCUAAGAAAACAGUAGUUCUUGCCUACUUGUGUAUAAUUCUUGUACAACUGAUGAUUAGAAAUAUUGGAAUUAUUUGAUAGGCAAUAUAUUGGUUAAUUAAUUACAGAUCGGUGACAUAAUAAGUAUGCUGUUGCUGAAACUUUU
RNAcentral lists this unclassified non-coding RNA (1962 nucleotides) under Hevea brasiliensis (rubber tree). The record is from RNAcentral. Lineage: Eukaryota; Viridiplantae; Streptophyta; Magnoliopsida; Malpighiales; Euphorbiaceae.